Molecule: long non-coding RNA, 4391 nt
Organism: Brassica rapa (field mustard)
Lineage: Eukaryota; Viridiplantae; Streptophyta; Magnoliopsida; Brassicales; Brassicaceae
Source: RefSeq, a predicted model, not a curated record
AACAAAAGAACAUGACAGUGACAGAAACUGCUUUACGUUUUUUUUUUUUUAACUUAAAACUGCUUUGUGUUUCUAGCCACUUUUAUGUUCUUCAGCUAACUUUUGCUGCUCCAAAAAUUAUCGAAUCCAUUAAAAGAGAUCCGAACAACAAAAGACAGCACACAGUCUGCUGGCAGAUCCGAUUAAAACUCCAAGAUCGAAAAUAUAUAAAUAUUUGGAAAAUAAGUCAUAAAUCAUUUAAAUAUAAUCUGCCUCUUUUAUUAAUAUUUAAUAUAUGUAGUUCACUACAAAAAAAAUGUGAACAUUGUGACUAAAUAUUAUGACAAAAUAUUUUGUCACAAUAUUGUGACUAUUUACAUACGGGGUAGUGACUAAUUUGUUUUGUCCCAAAAUCGUGAAUAUUUUGUCACAAUGUCGUGACGAAUGUUAAAAGUAACGAAAAACGUUACCAAAAGUUACGAAAAUGUGACGAAGUGGUUAGUCACAAGUAUUGUUACGGAAUCGAGACUAGAAGUCGUCCCUACUUGACACGAUUUCAUGGCUUACAUAUUGUCACCAUGGGUGACAAAAGUUUGUAAUCAUAUCAUUUAAACUUGUUUCGGGGUUGAUGACUUUUAAUUUAGUCAUAAUUGUGACAUAAAAUACUACUAUAUAUUCUAUCACUAUUAUAAUAUGCGUAAAACAAAUAUCUAACAGUCAUACAAAAUUAUAAAAUUCACUUAUAAUCUAAACUUUAACCUCAUACUUUAUAUCUAAACCUCAAAUUGUAUUCCCCAAACUCCAAACCCUAAAUAAUAAAGCUAACACUCAACACUCAUCGUUGAAGUUAAAAUCAUAAAUAAUAACCAAAUAUAAUCACUAGUUAUAUAUAUAAAUUUACAUGUAAAAAUUAAUAAAUUUAAUAUUUUCUAAAAAUAUGAAUUAAAUUUAUUACAUAUAAUAUUAAUAACCAACAAUUUAAUAUUUUAUAAUUCCUAAGUCGUAACACCAACAUUAAAACAAACCUGAAAUCAUUUGCCCAAAACUCAAAAUUCUAAAUCAUAACUCUAUAUACUUGAACUUAGAACUUUAAGUCAUAGAAAUUAAAUCACAAAUCCUAAUAAUAGACGUUCACUUUAAACACAUACAUGAAACCCUAUACCCUAAACUCUAAAUCAUAAAUUAUGUCUUAAUUUUUAUCAUAAAAUUUUAAAUAUUAAACUAUUACACCGAUAUAUAACCAUUGUAUACGUACAUAAACUAACUAACUUUAGCAAGCAAAUCAAAUAAUUAAUCUAGAAACCAAAACUGAAAAACCAUGUUUUUUUUUAACGCAUGUUUUGGUUUUGGCUCCAGAUUAUUUGGUUUUGACAUUAAAUAUUUUAGGUUUCCCACGUUUUGAGAAUAUGCUCUAUCUCAUAACCCUAUUUGACGCUUAUAUAGUUAUAUCUCUUUUUAUUUUUUUAGGUGUAGCCUCCAUCUACUAUUUUCUCUCUUUCUCUAGCAAAUCAGCAAUCCUGUUAGAUUCUUCUUUUUUAUUCGUUUCAUCCAUUUGAUUCUAUCUCCAAGGAUCCGUACUGCCAGUGGAAUGUACUAGUCGAUAUUUCGGAUACAGAUGUAGAUACAGCCACUACUUUGUAGUAGAUCUGACCACUGCUGUGUCAAAGGCUUUCCUCCGGAGUAUAUGAAGAGCCAAUGCCAAUGAUGAUGGCGGAGGUAUAGACAAGGGCGGAAGGAGAAGCUACGAAUCUCGUUUGGUUGCUGUGGUUUGACGGAGGCAAAGGAGGUGGUGUAGGAGACCCGUUUACCCUAAUUUGCUUUGAUUUGUUUUGUAUCAUAAUUGGUUAUCUAAUACCAGCUUAAUUUUUGUAAUCAGUUAACUGAUAUGUGGUUUGGGUUGUCGAUAAAAUAUAUUCUAAUUAAAAUUUCUUUUUAUUUUAAUUUAAUUUUCUUUUUAACAUGAAUCAGGUUUUAUUUAAUUUUAAAUUUAAAGUAUAUUUUAACUAAUUAAUUUUAUCAACAGAAUUAAAAAUACAUAUAAAAGCCACACAAUAACAGUAAAUUAUUUGGUAAGCAUUUGUUAAUUGCUACAAAUAUUGAAGUGAUUACUUAGUUACAAAAUGUAACGAAAGUGUGACAGAAAUACUGUUACAAAUUGUAUCAUAAUUACAAACGUAAUUGUGUGUAACAAUUUGUGACGCUUUGUGACUACUUUAUCUCGUAACAGUUUGUAAUGAAACUGAUACUAUUGUAAUGGUCUCUAUAAUUGUGACAUUUUUAUGACUAAUUUGAAUUUGUGACGACUUUAUUGCAACCCUUCAGAAACCGUCACAUAUUCGUCACAAUAGAUAAUUUGUGACAAAAUAUUUGUAUAUUGUGACUAAAAUCAUUGUCACAAUAUGUACUUUUUCUUGUAGUGGUUCUCCUAUUACAUUUAGCUAAAUAAACAUCUAUACUACUCCCUCCCUUUUAUAAAGUAAAUAGUUUUGGCUAAAAGCACAAAGAUAAAAAAAAUUAUUAUGUUUUAAAAAGUAUUGUAUAAUAAAUAGGUCAGAUACAACUUAACCAAUCAAAAAUAAUUUUAUUUAAUUUGAUUGGUCACACUAUAUUCAAUAAAUGUAAAAAUUACCUAGAAACAUGAAAAUUACUUACAUUUUGAAACAAAAAAUUUUCUUUAAAACUACUUACAAUAUGAAACUGAAAGAGUAUUAAAAAGUGGAUUAAAAUCUUUUUUUUAAGUGUUAAGUCUAUGCGGAGAGCUUUGACGAUGGAGGCGCUAACACCAAAACCUUCCGAGAGUACUGUGAAGAGAUGGCCAUCAUAUGUCUUGAAAGACACAACCAAGACAAGGUUAGUUCCUUUUCUUAAAUUUAACUUGUUUGGGUUUGUGUAGUUUUCAUUUAAGUACAUCAAAGUCUGAAUCUCUUAUGUUUCUGAUUGGUUAAAAGGAUUCAAAUGUGGAGUUUGUUGAGGUGGUAAGAGGAAACUAUCGAGGAGGACCGAGACCCAAGUCAUACAUUACAUUCAUGGCCAGGGAGAAACCGGAUGGACCUCUUGUCGAGUAUCAAGCCAAGGCUAUGGCUACUCUUGACAGAAAGUUUCAUCCCAUCCUCUGUAGACCGGCUCCUACUAAUUAAGGUAUAAUAUGGGUUUCCUCUUAGCCAGUUUUAGAUUAAUCAAACGUAUUUAGAUGUUUAUGUCAUAUAUUAUCUAAAUUUAAAUGAUCUAGUGGCUGUAAUGUUUUAACGUAUGAGUCUGUUUAUGCCUUGUAAUCAUGAUUCUAGUAGACUUUUGUAACAUAUUUUAACUUGAGCAAUUUGUACUAUGAUUAUGUGUUUUGUCAUGUGGAUCAUGACUCCUAGCACCUAAACCUUUGAUUUUACCUUUUCAUGUAGCUUUCUCUCUAUUGUACCAUAUUUGAUGGAGUUCCAACUUCUAAAAUGUUUCUUAUGGGCUUUAUAAACUAAAAGGAGUUGUUUCAUCAAAUACUUUGAAUAUCAGUAAAAUCUGUAAACGUCAUAAAAAGUUGGAACACCGAACAUGUAGCUAGAUGCACCAUUACAAAAUGCCAUAAAAAAUAAAGAUCUCAUGGAGAAUUAAGUAGCAAAAUAUAGUGAAACAUAGCAAAAUAAAUCCAUCUCUAACAACAAAAGGCCACAUUAAUCUUUUGUACAAAUGAAAACAAGAGUUGACAGAACUAGUUAUACUGAUUCAAUGAAUAUACAUACUGAUUCAGAAAGGAAUCGAACUGAAUUGAAUUCAAUGAAUAUACUGAUUCAAAAUAUGGUGAAACAUAGCAAAAUAAAGCCAUAUCUAACAACAACAGGCCACAUUAAUCUCAUUUCCUAAAUCCAUCACCAAGAAUGAUAUACUGAUUCAGAAAGGAAUCGAAUUGAAUUUGUCUCUUCAACACCAAGCCAGAUUCAGAUUCUUAAUCUUUUUGUACACAUAAACGCAUGAAAUUUUCUAUGCAAUUGACCAAAGUCACCAAACCUAUUAAUACAAAGGAAUUUGAUAGAAUCAACAGAACGUUCAUAAAAACGACUCUCCAUAUUUCAAAAGGUGAAUGAUACAAUAGACAUUUUGCAGCAGAGUGUGGGCAGGUUCUAAGUAAAUGAUUUCAACCACUAAGAGUUAACUAAUCAAAAUAUCAUAUGACUAAAUCCCGAGUUCAAGACAAAACAUAUCCUAAAAGUUGUAUACUUUUUAAUCUUGUAAGAAAACAAAACAGGAACACAACCAGUUUUGACAACGAAACAUCAGAACUGCAAUAACGAAAGGGGUUCCCUAAAUUUGAAAUCAACCUCGAGAUUCGAAGCGUAAGAGAUUAAAACUUACCAGAGAUGGGAACAAAUCCAAUUUGACGAUGAUUCAGCUGGAAUUCUAGGGUUUUUCGUCGGAAUCGAAUUGGG